CCCCUUGGAAUCUUCUGCCUAGGUGAGAAUGCAGAGUCUACUCAUGUCUUAGUGAAAUCAAGAAUCAGCCUGGCUGGUUUCCACCCAACGUCUCAUCUUCAAAAGAAGCCAGGGAGUGCCAGAUUGCUGUCAGAUCCAAAUAGGCCAGAUAAGUGUCUGGGUCAGAUUCUGGCCCACAGAGGGAGAAGUGGAUCAGAGGACGGAGAGAAGACUUAAGGAUCUUCUCACCAGUGAAUGAGAAGGUUCCAGGAACCUGUGAGACUAUUACAGUACUAGUAUGCAAGCUGGGUGGAGCCAGAGGGACAUGCGAGCAGGGCCCGCCCCGGAGCACUAGUGGCCACUCACAGGAAGGUUUGCUCAUUUGUAGCCGCUGAGAUUGAACUGCUCACCAAAGUCAUGGAGAAGAUCCAACAGUUAGAGCUUCAGAUGCUCCUGUUUGGACAUGAUGGUCAACCCCAGAAUCCUGUCACUGUAAAUGUUGUGGAUGAUGUGUGCCCGACCUGUGAUAGAACCUUCUGAGCUUAUGUUGGUCUGAUCAGCCACAGUUGGACACACUAUACCUUGACUCCAACAUAGUGAUGUCAUUUU
This is a non-coding RNA of Phascolarctos cinereus (koala), 588 nucleotides long. The record is from RefSeq and is a predicted model, not a curated record. Lineage: Eukaryota; Metazoa; Chordata; Mammalia; Diprotodontia; Phascolarctidae.